AUGACGAUGACGACGACGCCGCCGCCGCCGCCGCCUGUUCGGCCGCACGCCCUCCUCGUGUCCACUCCAUUCCAGGGCCACAUCAACCCCCUCAUGCGCCUUGGCCGGCGCCUGGCCGCCAAGGGCGUGCUAGUCACCUUCACCACCGCCCUCCGCGCAGCCGUCCGCGUGGAGGAGGACGGCGACGGCCACGAGCGCGCGGGGUUCCGGUUCGAGCGCCUGCGCGGCGGCGGGCUAUGGGAGCCGGAGGAUCCACGGUUCAGCGACGCCGGCGGCAUGGCGCGCCAUGUCGAGGCCGCUGGACCGGCGGCGCUCAAGGAGCUCAUCCGCCGGGAGGCCGAGGCCGGGCGGCCGGUGACGUGCGUCGUGACCAACGCCUUCGUCCCGUGGGCGCUCCGCGUGGCUGGCGAGAUGGGCCUCCCCUGCGGCAUGCUGUGGAUCCAGUCCUGCGCCCUGCUCUCCGUGUACUACCACUACGUGCACUCGCUCGCGGCCUUUCCCGAGGCGGACGACGACGCGUCCGGCCGCUCGCUAUUGGCCAUCCCUGGGUUCCCGGACCUCGCCAUCGACGACCUCCGUCCCCACCUGAUUUACGCCUCCGACCAGGACAUGUGGCGAGAGAUGCUCUUCGGGGAUCUCGGCGGCAUCCGCGAGAGGGUAUCGUGGGUGUUCGUCAACACCUUCGACGAGCUCGAGCACGAGGCCGUCGCGGCGCUUCGCGAGCACCUUCCAGUUAUACCAGUCGGCCCUCUCAUCGAGCCGGAAAUCGAUGGGUCCUCCGAUGAGGAUGACGACGGCUGCAUCGCGUGGCCGGACGCACAGGCGCCGCGCUCGGUGGUGUUCGUUGCGUUCGGGAGCCUCGUGAAGACGGACGACGGCGAGACUGCCGAGAUAGCGCAGGCGCUUGCCAGCACGGGCCGGCCGUUCCUCUGGGUGAUGCGCGACGACAACCGCGCGGUCCUCUUCCAGGGCACCCUGGACGGCCUCACGGCGGCCACCUUGUGCGACAGAGGCAAGCUCGUCCCGUGGUGCAAGCAGGCGCACGUGCUCGCGCACGGCGGGAUCGGCUGCUUCGUCACGCACUGCGGCUGGAACUCUACCACCGAGGGGCUCGCCGCGGGCGUGCCGGUCGUUGCCUGCCCGAGGUGGUCCGACCAGAGCAUCAACGCGAAAUUUCUGGUGGAUGUGUACCGACUCGGCGUCCGUACCCCGACGCCGGUGACAAGGGAAACGCUCCAUCUAUCCAUCGAGGAGGUCAUGAGCGGGCCGGAGGCGGGAGCGAUGCGACUACGAGCGGCCAGCUGGAAGGAGAGGGCGCGUGCGGCGCUGGUCGACGGCGGCUCGUCGGAUCACGGCGUCCAAGCUUUUGCUGACCAGAUAAAGUAG
Molecule: ribosomal RNA, 1386 nt
Filed under: Triticum aestivum (bread wheat)
Lineage: Eukaryota; Viridiplantae; Streptophyta; Magnoliopsida; Poales; Poaceae
Description: partial small subunit ribosomal RNA
Source: RNAcentral